RNAcentral lists this ribosomal RNA (476 nucleotides) under uncultured Methanosaeta sp. RNAcentral describes it as "bacterial SSU rRNA". It matches the Rfam family "Archaeal small subunit ribosomal RNA", at positions 861 to 1338 of the family's 1478-position model. The record is from RNAcentral. Lineage: Archaea; Methanobacteriati; Methanobacteriota; Methanomicrobia; Methanotrichales; Methanotrichaceae.
GGAAGUUGACGGGGAGCACCACAACGGGUGGAGCUUGCGGUUUAAUUGGAUUCAACGCCGGAAUCCUACCGGGACCGACAGCAAUAUGAAGGCCAGGCUGAAGACUUUGCCGGAUUAGCUGAGAGGUGGUGCAUGGCCGUCGUCAGUUCGUACUGUGAAGCAUCCUGUUAAGUCAGGCAACGAGCGAGACCCACGCCCACAGUUGCCAGCGUACUCUCUGGAGUGACGGGUACACUGUGGGACCGCCGCUGCUAAAGCGGAGGAAGGAAUGGGCAACGGUAGGUCAGUAUGCCCCGAAUAUCCCGGGCUACACGCGAGCUACAAUGGUUGGUACAAUGGGUAUCUACCCCGAAAGGGGACGGGAAUCUCCUAAAACCAAUCUUAGUUCGGAUUGAGGGCUGCAACUCGCCCUCAUGAAGCUGGAAUCCGUAGUAAUCGCGUUUCAACAGAACGCGGUGAAUACGUCCCUGCUCCUU